RNAcentral lists this transfer RNA (73 nucleotides) under Cordylochernes scorpioides. Its description in RNAcentral is "tRNA-Thr". The record is from RNAcentral. Lineage: Eukaryota; Metazoa; Arthropoda; Arachnida; Pseudoscorpiones; Chernetidae.
GUCUAGGUAUGGGAAUCGAACCCACAACGUUCCGCUUACCGGGCAGAUGCCAUGUCCACUAGGCUACCCUGGA